Molecule: ribosomal RNA, 497 nt
Filed under: uncultured bacterium
Lineage: Bacteria
Description: partial 16S ribosomal RNA
Rfam family: Bacterial small subunit ribosomal RNA
Source: RNAcentral
GACGAACGCUGGCGGCGCGCCUAAUACAUGCAAGUUGAGCGCUGAAGGUUGGUACUUGUACCGACUGGAUGAGCAGCGAACGGGUGAGUAACGCGUGGGGAAUCUGCCUUUGAGCGGGGGACAACAUUUGGAAACGAAUGCUAAUACCGCAUAAAAACUUUAAACACAAGUUUUAAGUUUGAAAGAUGCAAUUGCAUCACUCAAAGAUGAUCCCGCGUUGUAUUAGCUAGUUGGUGAGGUAAAGGCUCACCAAGGCGAUGAUACAUAGCCGACCUGAGAGGGUGAUCGGCCACAGUGGGACUGAGACACGGCCCAAACUCCUACGGGAGGCAGCAGUAGGGAAUCUUCGGCAAUGGACGAAAGUCUGACCGAGCAACGCCGCGUGAGUGAAGAAGGUUUUCGGAUCGUAAAACUCUGUUGGUAGAGAAGAACGUUGGUGAGAGUGGAAAGCUCAUCAAGUGACGGUAACUACCCAGAAAGGGACGGCUAACUACGUG